GAUGAACGCUGGCGGCGUGCCUAAUACAUGCAAGUCGAGCGAACAGACGAGGAGCUUGCUCCUCUGACGUUAGCGGCGGACGGGUGAGUAACACGUGGAUAACCUACCUAUAAGACUGGGAUAACUUCGGGAAACCGGAGCUAAUACCGGAUAAUAUAUUGAACCGCAUGGUUCAAUAGUGAAAGACGGUUUUGCUGUCACUUAUAGAUGGAUCCGCGCCGCAUUAGCUAGUUGGUAAGGUAACGGCUUACCAAGGCAACGAUGCGUAGCCGACCUGAGAGGGUGAUCCGCCACACUGGAACUUAGACACGGUCCAGACUCCUACGGGAGGCAGCAGUAGGGAAUCUUCCGCAAUGGGCGGAAGCCUGACGGAGCAACGCCGCGUGAGUGAUGAAGGUCUUCGGAUCGUAAAACUCUGUUAUUAGGGAAGAACAAAUGUGUAAGUAACUAUGCACGUCUUGACGGUACCUAAUCAGAAAGCCACGGCUAACUACGUG
Molecule: ribosomal RNA, 497 nt
Filed under: uncultured bacterium
Lineage: Bacteria
Description: partial 16S ribosomal RNA
Rfam family: Bacterial small subunit ribosomal RNA
Source: RNAcentral